RNAcentral lists this transfer RNA (73 nucleotides) under Stegodyphus mimosarum. It matches the Rfam family "tRNA". From Rfam's summary of the family: Transfer RNA (tRNA) molecules are approximately 80 nucleotides in length. Their secondary structure includes four short double-helical elements and three loops (D, anti-codon, and T loops). Lineage: Eukaryota; Metazoa; Arthropoda; Arachnida; Araneae; Eresidae. The record is from Rfam by way of RNAcentral.
GCCUUCCUAGUGUAAUUCGAAGCAUAUUCGACUCGUAUUUCAGAAGUCCAGGGUUCGAGUCCCAGGGAGGGCA